GUGUCAGCCGCCGCGGUAAGACGGAGGGUGCAAGCGUUGCUCGGAAUCACUGGGCGUAAAGGGCAUGUAGGCGGUCCGUUAAGUGGGAUGUGAAAGCCCUCGGCUCAACCGAGGAAUUGCGUUCCAAACUGGCGGACUCGAGGACGGUAGGGGACAGUGGAACUCCAGGUGGAGCGGUGAAAUGCGUAGAGAUCUGGAGGAACGCCGGUGGCGAAAGCGACUGUCUGGGCCGUUCCUGACGCUGAGGUGCGAAAGCCAGGGGAGCAAACGGGAUUAGAUACCCCGGUAGUCCUGGCCGUAAACGAUGGGCACUAGCUUGGGGGGCCUUCGGGCUUCCCUUGCGUAGCUAACGCGUUAAGUGCCCCGCCUGGGGAGUAUGCGCGCAAGCGUAAAACUUAAAUGAAUUGACGGGG
Molecule: ribosomal RNA, 413 nt
Filed under: uncultured prokaryote
Description: bacterial SSU rRNA
Rfam family: Bacterial small subunit ribosomal RNA
Source: RNAcentral